GAUGAACGCUGGCGGCGUGCCUAAUACAUGCAAGUCGAGCGAACGGACGAGAAGCUUGCUUCUCUGAUGUUAGCGGCGGACGGGUGAGUAACACGUGGAUAACCUACCUAUAAGACUGGGAUAACUUCGGGAAACCGUAGCUAAUACCGGAUAAUAUUUUGAACCGCAUGGUUCAAAAGUGAAAGACGGUCUUGCUGUCACUUAUAGAUGGAUCCGCGCUGCAUUAGCUAGUUGGUAAGGUAACGGCUUACCAAGGCAACGAUGCAUAGCCGACCUGAGAGGGGGAUCGGCCAACCUGGAACGGAGACACGGUCCAGACUCCUACGGGAGGCAGCAGUAGGGAAUCUUCCGCAAUGGGCGAAAGCCUGACGGAGCAACGCCGGGUGAGUGAUGAAGGUCUUCGGAUCGUAAAACUCUGUUAUUAGGGAAGAACAUAUGUGUAAGUAACUGUGCACAUCUUGACGGUACCUAAUCAGAAAGCCACGGCUAACUACGU
RNAcentral lists this ribosomal RNA (496 nucleotides) under uncultured bacterium. RNAcentral describes it as "partial 16S ribosomal RNA". It matches the Rfam family "Bacterial small subunit ribosomal RNA", at positions 28 to 506 of the family's 1533-position model. The record is from RNAcentral.